GGGCUCGUCGCCUAGCUUGGAUUAGGGCGUCAGCCUCCGGAGCUGAAGGUCCGGGGUUCAAAUCCCCGCGAGCCCGCCA
This 79-nucleotide transfer RNA is filed under the name Nitrososphaerales archaeon. RNAcentral's name for it is "tRNA-Arg". It matches the Rfam family "tRNA". From Rfam's summary of the family: Transfer RNA (tRNA) molecules are approximately 80 nucleotides in length. Their secondary structure includes four short double-helical elements and three loops (D, anti-codon, and T loops). Further hydrogen bonds mediate the characteristic L-shaped molecular structure. tRNAs have two regions of fundamental functional importance: the anti-codon, which is responsible for specific mRNA codon recognition, and the 3' end, to which the tRNAs corresponding amino acid is attached (by aminoacyl-tRNA synthetases). tRNAs cope with the degeneracy of the genetic code in two manners: having more than one tRNA (with a specific anti-codon) for a particular amino acid; and 'wobble' base-pairing, i.e. permitting non-standard base-pairing at the 3rd anti-codon position. The record is from RNAcentral. Lineage: Archaea; Thermoproteati; Nitrososphaerota; Nitrososphaeria; Nitrososphaerales.